UGGGGAAUAUUGGACAAUGGGCGAAAGCCUGAUCCAGCAAUGCCGCGUGAGUGAUGAAGGCCUUAGGGUUGUAAAGCUCUUUUACCAGGGAUGAUAAUGACAGUACCUGGAGAAUAAGCUCCGGCUAACUCCGUGCCAGCAGCCGCGGUAAUACGGAGGGAGCUAGCGUUGUUCGGAAUUACUGGGCGUAAAGCGCGCGUAGGCGGCUUUUCAAGUCAGGGGUGAAAUCCCGGGGCUCAACCCCGGAACUGCCCUUGAAACUGGAUGGCUAGAAUGCUGGAGAGGUGAGUGGAAUUCCGAGUGUAGAGGUGAAAUUCGUAGAUAUUCGGAAGAACACCAGUGGCGAAGGCGCUCUACUGGGCCAACACUGACACUGAUGGACGAAAGCUAGGGGAGCGAAAGGGAUUAGAUACCCCCGUAGUCC
This 424-nucleotide ribosomal RNA is filed under the name uncultured prokaryote. RNAcentral describes it as "bacterial SSU rRNA". It matches the Rfam family "Bacterial small subunit ribosomal RNA", at positions 355 to 796 of the family's 1533-position model. The record is from RNAcentral.